Long non-coding RNA from Salmo salar (Atlantic salmon), 1744 nucleotides. RefSeq lists it as uncharacterized. Lineage: Eukaryota; Metazoa; Chordata; Actinopteri; Salmoniformes; Salmonidae. The record is from RefSeq and is a predicted model, not a curated record.
UCGAAUGAUGCCGGUUAAACAGCUGCAAGCAAGCGAGAAACCGAACCUUCAGCUAUGCCUGGAAAAUGUAAAUUCCAGGACUCGUGGCUCACCAAAAACAUUUACAAAGACUGGCUUGUUAAAAAUAUGCGGGAGAUCCAUAUGGCCCGAUGCAGAGCCUGCAGCAAAUCAAUAAAAGUUCACGCCAUGGGCGAAGCAGCUGUGACGAGCCAUGCUUCUGGAGCAUCACACAGGACGGCAGUCCGCCAGUUAAAAGCAGCUCCCACUCUCUAUUGAACUAUGUGGAAAAGUCAUUGUCAUCUACAUCACCACCUAGACAGUCUUCUACAACUACUACCACAUGCACCACCUCAAGACAGUCCAUCAUAACUGUCCUUCCCAGUUAUGACACAUUGCGGACUGAGACAUUGUGUUGUCUGAAUAUGAUGGAGUCUCACUAAUCUUUCCACUCUAGUGAACGCACGGGUGUGCUGUUCUCAGCGAUGUUCCCAGACAGUGCAAUAGUCAAGACCUUCGCAUGCGGGGCAACAAAGUCCAGCUAUGUGUGCACACAUGCAAGCCUCAGUAGAGCGUGGAUUCUCCAUAAAUCGUCAGAUUGAUGGAGACCACGUAGUCUGCCAUCACUGUAACACAGCACAAUUGAGAAGUGUUCACACAUUCAAGCCUCUCUUUAAUUGUCUGUGAGCUUCUGUAAAGCCUGCUAGUUCUCAUUAUAAAAAUUCCUCAGUGUUGUAACGGUAAUUAACCUUGAUCUGUGUCUCAAACUAUGCUGUGUUGGGUCCUUGAAUUGGGCCUGGAAAGUCCUUGAAUUUGAUGUUUAAGAAGGUGUGGGAACCCUGUAUGUAAUUCUAGGUUAAUUACGGGGUUGUACUGUUAUGAGAACUUCACAGCAGAGCAGAGACACAGGGUGAUAACAGAAAAACCUUUGCUUGUCAAGACACAACACAAACAUUCAGAAACAAGCCCACUUUUGAUAUUCGUAAACUUACUACACUACCCUGAUUUUUAUCGAAUGGUAUUAGAUUCUGUAAUCAAGUGUUGUGUAGUGCCGCUAACAAGGUUACUGGAUGUCAUGGAGGCUUGUUCAUUUCAGUUAGUUGAAUUGUCAAUAGAAUAUGCUCUGAAUGCAAAGGAGGCAUAUUGCUGACAAUACAUGUUCUGAUAUGUGCUAGAAUAUAAUUUUACCCCAAUACACCUUUCCUUUGCCAACACUUUCAGUCAAUACGUCAAUGUGGACGCACCGGCUUCAGCAUUAAUGUGUCAUCUAUUAUGAGUUGGUUCACGCUCUCUUGUUCACAUCAUUCCGAGGUGAUGGCGCCUCCCGUCUAUGUUCUUGUCCUGCAAUUUCAUGUCAGCACUCUUCUAUUCACAUUCCUACCCACACACCUCUGCCUGCCUCUCUCUCGAUUUUAUACCCUGUCUGUAUUAAAUUGCAAUAUGUCAGUUUACCCAUAGAUAACACACCAUUUCAAAUCUCACUCUUGACAGAGAGACUGGUCACAGAGACAUUCUCUCUCAACCUGCUUCAACCUGCUUCUCAACAUUAAAAAAGAUUCCUUUAGCAGAUUGUGAAAUGUUAGAUAUACUGUAGCAGAUGUUUAAAGGAGAUGGUAGACACUCAGACAGUGGGACUAGUCUGUGAAAUCUAUGAAUUUAAGAAUGGUUACAUACAUUCUCCAUCACCAUCCCUCAGCUGUUUAACAAAAAAAGUGGGGGGGGUUUACAACACUGUUUGAAUCCCAGA